GAUUUUUCUUAAAUUGCGCAUGCUCGCUAACUUUAUGAGUCUGUAGGAUGUCCCAUCUGUUGAUUUUCAGCUCUGAAGUGUGCUCAACAACAACUUAGAGAUCCUCUGUAAGCGACUGGCGUUGUGCAGCCUAUUGUGUGUGGCUAAAGGUAAAUGUGUGUGUGAGGUGGAUGGGUUUGUGGGUGCCAAAGGAUUGGAAUACUUGAUGAAUUCAGUGAAUAUCCUGUGAUUGCCAUUAACAGAUGUAAUGACCACAAACGCAAGCAAUAAAAAUCCAGCCACAGCACCAAGACCAAUGAACACGUUCCGAAGACUCGACUCUGGACCAUCUCAUGUGUCGGGUGUUAACCAGCGACCCGUCAUUGAUUUCUGGUCUUAUUCCAAUCAAGUGACACAUUAGAGGGUAAACGUUGACUGUCUCAAAUGGUCCAACCAACAAGUUCCUGUGAAAAUCUGGUCCCACUGCCCUGAAAAAAGGCUUCAUGUCCAUCACUUCAUUGUCAUAGCCAUGUUCUCCUUUAUUGUUCUGGAAUACGUAGAAC
This 542-nucleotide long non-coding RNA is filed under the name Danio rerio (zebrafish). Its description in RNAcentral is "si:dkey-33g13.4 (ENSDARG00000104417.2)". The record is from RNAcentral. Lineage: Eukaryota; Metazoa; Chordata; Actinopteri; Cypriniformes; Danionidae.